This 618-nucleotide ribosomal RNA is filed under the name Rhizopus delemar. RNAcentral's name for it is "partial large subunit ribosomal RNA". It matches the Rfam family "Eukaryotic large subunit ribosomal RNA", at positions 82 to 632 of the family's 3401-position model. Lineage: Eukaryota; Fungi; Mucoromycota; Mucoromycetes; Mucorales; Rhizopodaceae. The record is from RNAcentral.
AGUACGGCGAGUGAAGAGGAAGAGCUCAAAGUUGGAACCUGUUUGGCCUAGCUAAACCGNNNNNNNNNNNNNAGAAGUGUUUUCCAGGCAAGCCGAGUAAAUAAGUCCUUUGGAACAGGGCAUCAUAGAGGGUGAGAAUCCCGUCUUUGGCUUGAGCAUUUGCCUUUUGUGAUACGCUUUCAAAGAGUCAGGUUGUUUGGGAAUGCAGCCUAAAUUGGGUGGUAAAUCUCACCUAAAGCUAAAUAUUGGCGAGAAACCGAUAGCGAACAAGUACCGUGAGGGAAAGAUGAAAAGAACUUUGAAAAGAGAGUUAAACAGUAUGUGAAAUUGUUAAAAGGGAACCGUUUGGAGCCAGACUGGCUUGUCUGUAAUCAAUCUAGGCUUCGGCCUGGAUGCACUUGCAGGCUAUGCCUGCCAACGACAAUUUGACUUGAGGGAAAAAACUAAGGGAAAUGUGGCCCACUUGUGGGUGUUAUAGUCCCUUAGAAAAUACCUUGGGUUGGAUUGAGGAACGCAGCGAAUGCUUUUUGGCGAGUUUUCCAGGAAGGUUUUCUGAGGUACUACGGUAUCAAGGUUGAUCUUUUUGGUUAUACUUCUAUUCGCUUAGGUUGUUGGCUU